UAACCUGGUUGAUCCUGCCAGUUUGUCAUAUGCUUGUUUCAAGGACUAAGCCAUGCAAAUGUCAGAGUAUCUGUGUUUUAAUACAGAGGGUCUGUGUACGGCUCAUUAAACGGUUUAUAGUCUCCCCAACAAAGAGGGCAGUCAUGCCUUCCUACGGGAUAUCUUUGCGAAACGCAAAGCUAAUACCUGUAAG
Molecule: ribosomal RNA, 193 nt
Filed under: uncultured eukaryote
Lineage: Eukaryota
Description: partial 18S ribosomal RNA
Rfam family: Eukaryotic small subunit ribosomal RNA
Source: RNAcentral